GCGAGGGUGGCGGAACUGGUAGACGCACUAGACUUAGGAUCUAGCGGGUAACCGUGGGGGUUCGAGUCCCCCUUCUCGCACCA
This 83-nucleotide transfer RNA is filed under the name Desulfomicrobium sp. RNAcentral describes it as "tRNA-Leu". It matches the Rfam family "tRNA". Rfam says of the family: Transfer RNA (tRNA) molecules are approximately 80 nucleotides in length. The record is from RNAcentral. RNAcentral also lists the same sequence under 1 other name. Lineage: Bacteria; Pseudomonadati; Thermodesulfobacteriota; Desulfovibrionia; Desulfovibrionales; Desulfomicrobiaceae.